GAUGAAGAACGUAGCGAAAUGCGAUACUUGGUGUGAAUUGCAGAAUCCCGUGAACCAUCGAGUCUUUGAACGCAAGUUGCGCCCGAAGCCACUAGGCCGAGGGCACGCCUGCCUGGGCGUCACACGCCGUUGCCCCCCCAUCUACUCCUUCGGGAUUGCGGGGGGGCGGAUGAUGGCCUCCCGUGCGCCUAGCCGCGCGGUUGGCAUAAAUACCAAGUCCUCGGCGACGCACGCCACGACAAUCGGUGGUUGCGAAACCUCGGUUGCCCGUCGUGUGCGUUCGUCGCGCAUCGAGGGCUCGAAAAAAUGCUCGGCUCCGGCUAGGCUUUCAACGCGACCCCAGGUCAGGCGGGGUUACCCGCUGAAUUUAAGCAUAUCAAUAAGCGGAGGA
Molecule: unclassified non-coding RNA, 391 nt
Filed under: soil metagenome
Description: partial contains 5.8S ribosomal RNA, internal transcribed spacer 2, and large subunit ribosomal RNA
Rfam family: 5.8S ribosomal RNA (bases 1-122)
Source: RNAcentral